This 432-nucleotide ribosomal RNA is filed under the name uncultured bacterium. RNAcentral describes it as "partial 16S ribosomal RNA". It matches the Rfam family "Bacterial small subunit ribosomal RNA", at positions 28 to 507 of the family's 1533-position model. The record is from RNAcentral.
GAUGAACGCUGGCGGUAUGCUUAACACAUGCAAGUCGAACGGUCACUUCGUUCUUAUGUGCGGUGCUGGGGUUAACGCCUGGUAAUUUGCCCUUAAGUCGGGUACCAUUGUUAGAAAUGUCUGCUAAUACCGGUUGGGCCAUUGGCGGAAAGGUUUAUUGCCUGCAAAAUAGGUCGCGUCAGAUUAGCUAGUAGGUGGUGUAAGAGACUACCUAUGCUCCGAUCUGUAGCUGGUCUGAGAGGACGAUCAGCCACACUGGAACUGAGACACGGUCCAGACUCCUACGGGAGGCAGCAGUGGGGAAUUUUACGCAAUGGGCGAAAGCCUGACGGAGCAAUGCCGCGUGAGGGACGAAGGCUUUUGGGUAGUAAACCUCUUUUCUCAAGGAAGAUGAUGACGGUACUUGAGGAAUAAGCAUCGGCUAACUCUGUG